AUGCAACAACAACAAUAACAACGACGACGACGACAAAUAUGAAAACAUCACCGUCACCGCCUCCCCGUAACGACGGAGCUGAGGUUCGAAACUCUAAUGAGGAAUUAACUCGAACGCAGGACAGCCACUUUCCUACGGGAUAUAAAUAUAGAACUAGUUUUCCA
Octopus sinensis (East Asian common octopus) is the source of this 164-nucleotide long non-coding RNA. RefSeq lists it as uncharacterized. Lineage: Eukaryota; Metazoa; Mollusca; Cephalopoda; Octopoda; Octopodidae. The transcript has 3 exons. The record is from RefSeq and is a predicted model, not a curated record.